CCGUAGCCCAAGAGACUGGGAUAACACCUGGAAACAGAUGCUAAUACCGGAUAACAACACUAGACGCAUGUCUAGAGUUUAAAAGAUGGUUCUGCUAUCACUCUUGGAUGGACCUGCGGUGCAUUAGCUAGUUGGUAAGGCAACGGCUUACCAAGGCAAUGAUGCAUAGCCGAGUUGAGAGACUGAUCGGCCACAUUGGGACUGAGACACGGCCCAAACUCCUACGGGAGGCAGCAGAU
RNAcentral lists this ribosomal RNA (239 nucleotides) under uncultured bacterium. RNAcentral's name for it is "partial 16S ribosomal RNA". It matches the Rfam family "Bacterial small subunit ribosomal RNA", at positions 125 to 354 of the family's 1533-position model. The record is from RNAcentral.